This 166-nucleotide non-coding RNA is filed under the name Lotharella globosa. The record is from RNAcentral. Lineage: Eukaryota; Cercozoa; Chlorarachniophyceae.
AGAAGAAAAAGAAAAAAAAGAGAAAAAGAAAAAGAAAAAAAAAUGUGCAAUUAAAAAUUCGCGAAUCAACGCAUGGAGGAAUCAUGUUUUGUUUUGGGAGAACGUCGUUUUCUUUUUUGUUUUUUUGCUUGCCGCGAUUUUUUAUUUUGUGCUUUUCUCCUUUCUU